GAUGAAGAACGCAGCGAAAUGCGAUAAGUAGUGUGAAUUGCAGAAUUCAGUGAGUCAUCGAAUCUUUGAACGCACAUUGCGCCCUUUGGUAUUCCUUAGGGCAUGCCUGUUCGAGCGUCAUUUAAACCUUCAAGCUCAGCUUGGUGUUGGGUGACUGUCCGCUUCACCGCGGACUCGCCUCAAAAUUAUUGGCGGCCGGUACAUUGGCUUCGAGCGCAGCAGAAACGCGAACUCGGGCCCGUCGUAUUGGCUCCCAGAAGCUAUCUUCACAAUUUUGACCUCGGAUCAGGUAGGGAUACCCGCUGAACUUAAGCAUAUCAAUAAGCGGAGGA
This 332-nucleotide unclassified non-coding RNA is filed under the name soil metagenome. Its description in RNAcentral is "partial contains 5.8S ribosomal RNA, internal transcribed spacer 2, and large subunit ribosomal RNA". The stretch from base 1 to 120 matches the Rfam family "5.8S ribosomal RNA", at positions 35 to 154 of the family's 154-position model. The record is from RNAcentral.